AACAAGGGGGCUUCUCUUAUAGC
RNAcentral lists this non-coding RNA (23 nucleotides) under Arabidopsis thaliana (thale cress). The record is from RNAcentral. Lineage: Eukaryota; Viridiplantae; Streptophyta; Magnoliopsida; Brassicales; Brassicaceae.